Long non-coding RNA from Megalobrama amblycephala (Wuchang bream), 1498 nucleotides. RefSeq lists it as uncharacterized. The transcript is spliced from 3 exons. NCBI's taxonomy places the organism in Eukaryota, Metazoa, Chordata, Actinopteri, Cypriniformes, Xenocyprididae. The record is from RefSeq and is a predicted model, not a curated record.
ACAAUGUUUUAGCUUAUUGGCAGUGUCACUGGGCUAUAAAAACGGGAACAUGCGCGUUAUCUGGGAUGCGUCAUUUGGGGAACUGUUGCGUCGUUAACGCGCUUCCGUCACUUCCCGGAACUGGAUGUGAGUGCUCGACACGAGACUGCAACUUGGUUGGAGAGCAGUUCUACCUGGACUCGGCGAGUUUUGCUGCAAUGUCGUUUAUUAUUGUUUACAUGUAGUGGGUGUAGACAUCGAAGAAGCUGUGAGAACCAGAUGCACUUGCUGGGUCGCUGUUUUCUUUACCGGCGUUUGCUUGAAAAGACUCUAUUUGUUGGCUCUUUAUAGAAACGUUAAUCCCUGCAAUUGGUAAGUAUUCAUGCACACGCAUAUGAUGGUGAGAGAAUAUAUCUAACAGAGUAACAGUCUCGCUUUAUCUAUAGGUGUUGUGACGGCCGUAACUGCAAUCUAUUCGGGGUGCUCCGCGUUUGUUAUGGCUGCAGUGCUGUCCUGUUUCCAGUUUCUAAUUUUCUUUCUUCGUUAAUUUUUCUUUUCUGACUGCUUUAUAUCUUGUAUAUAUCUAUAUAUAUACAAUAUAUCUAUAUCUUAUAUCUAUAUUUUGUUUGCUCUUUUCAGUUGUAUUAAUACUAUUUUGUCUUUGAAGCUUGAAUCAUUUCAGUUUAAAUUCCAAUUAUUAUAUUUUUGUGACUUUCUUUAGUCUAUUUCUGCUUGUUUCUUUAGUUGCAUUAGAUUGCUGUAUUGUUUUUGGGGUUUGAAUUACCUUUGUCUCUAAUUUUGAUUAUAUUUUUGUGAUUCUUUACUUAUUAUUUGAUUUGCUUCCCCCAGUGGCGUUAGAUUUUGUUUUGUGAUUUAUAUCAUUUGUUUAAAGUCUAUUCUGUUUUUUUCUUUUUUUGUUUACUUGUAUUUUGUUGAAAUUUUGACUUUUGCUUUAAGCAAUCAUUUGUUACCAACAUUCAUUUGUGUUAUUUGAUUGGUUGAGUUGCACUACCCAGUCUCUAAAAGUGAUUGUGUGCUUGAUUCUGAUCACUUUUGUCUCGGCAGGGCCUGAGCACCAGGGGCAGAGGACUGGUUUUAGGUGGUGGUAUAUCUCUCACAAGUGUGCAGUGACCACCUCACCGUGUGUGUGUGUGCGUGUGCGCGUGUGGACACAGUAAAGUGCAGUGAUUCACCUACAGGUGGUGUGGUCUGAUUAUCCGUUUUUACUGGUAAGCUCUAGCCCCUGCCCUCGACUUGUUCUAAGAAUCUUAAGUGGCCUGUGUGGCUGGGACAAAUGUGUAAUUGUUUGUUUUUUAAUAUUGUUUUUAAUGAUGUCAAUAAAAUAAUUUUGUACUGUUACCCAUGUCUCUGACUCUAAUUAGUGAUACGAAUCUGUGUAAACAACUAUAAGUGGUUUAUUCUAAUUCUUUGGGUGAAACUCCCAAAGUGGCGUAGUCGGAGUGAGUUUGACAUCUUAUAAUUUCCACUGUAUUUAAAAUAAAAGUCCUUAUUGCCCUCG